This 103-nucleotide small nuclear RNA is filed under the name Chinchilla lanigera (long-tailed chinchilla). The record is from RNAcentral. Lineage: Eukaryota; Metazoa; Chordata; Mammalia; Rodentia; Chinchillidae.
GUGCUUCCUUUGGUAGCACAUAUAGUAAAACUGGAAUGAUACAGCGAUUCCACGGCCUCUGAACAAGGAUUACGCAGAAACGGAUGAAGUGUUCCAUAUUUUU